Molecule: ribosomal RNA, 669 nt
Filed under: uncultured bacterium
Lineage: Bacteria
Description: bacterial SSU rRNA
Rfam family: Bacterial small subunit ribosomal RNA
Source: RNAcentral
AACUGAGGGAAACUUCUGCUAAUCCCGGAUGAACCGAAUAUUAUGAAUUUAUCGCCGGGAGAUGAGCUCGCGUCUGAUUAGCUAGUUGGAGAGGUUUAGGCUCACUUAGGCAACUAUCGAUAGCUGGGCUGACAGGAUGAUCAACCACACUGGGACUGAAACACGGCCCCGACUCCUACGGGAGGCAGCCACGGGGAAUUUUCCUCAAUGGGCGCAAGCCUGACGGGAUUGGACCGCGUGGGGGAGGAAGGAUCUUGGGUUGUAGACCCCUUUUCUCAAGGAAUAACACAAUGACGGUACUUGAGGAAUAAGCCUCCGCUAACUCCGUGCCAUCAACCACGGUAAUACGGAAGACGCAAGCGUUAUCCGGAAUGAUUGGGCGUAAAGCGUCCUUACGUGGCUGUUCGAGUCUGCUGGCAAACACAGCGGCUUAACUACUGAAAGGCAAUGAAAACUGAACAACUACAGUACUGCAGGGGCAGAUGGAAUUCCCGGUGUAGCGAUGAGAUGCGUAGAUAUCGGGAAGAACACCGGUGGCGAAAGCGCUCUGCUGGGCCGUAACUGACACUGAGGGACUACUGCUAGGGGAGCGAAUGGGAUUAGAUACCGCAGUAGUCCUAGACGUGAACAAUGGAAACUAGGUGUCUACUGUAUCGACACGGGCUGUGC